This 121-nucleotide ribosomal RNA is filed under the name Monodelphis domestica (gray short-tailed opossum). Lineage: Eukaryota; Metazoa; Chordata; Mammalia; Didelphimorphia; Didelphidae. The record is from RNAcentral.
UCACAUAGUCAUACCACCCUGAAUGUGCCUGAUCUCAUCUGUUCUUAGGAGCUAAGGCAGGGUUGGACCUGGGUUAAUAUUUGUAUGGGAGACCACUUGGGCAUACCAGGUGCUGUGGACU